Molecule: ribosomal RNA, 301 nt
Filed under: uncultured bacterium
Lineage: Bacteria
Description: bacterial SSU rRNA
Rfam family: Bacterial small subunit ribosomal RNA
Source: RNAcentral
GUGCCAGCAGCCUCGGUAAUACGUAGGGUGCAAGCGUUAAUCGGAAUUACUGGGCGUAAAGCGUGCGCAGGCGGUGAUGUAAGACAGUCGUGAAAUCCCCGGGCUCAACCUGGGAACUGCGAUUGUGACUGCAUCGCUGGAGUGCGGCAGAGGGGGAUGGAAUUCCGCGUGUAGCAGUGAAAUGCGUAGAUAUGCGGAGGAACACCGAUGGCGAAGGCAAUCCCCUGGGCCUGCACUGACGCUCAUGCACGAAAGCGUGGGGAGCAAACAGGAUUAGAUACCCUGGUAGUCCACGCCCUAA